RNAcentral lists this ribosomal RNA (60 nucleotides) under Stagonosporopsis cucurbitacearum. Its description in RNAcentral is "partial 28S ribosomal RNA". The record is from RNAcentral. Lineage: Eukaryota; Fungi; Ascomycota; Dothideomycetes; Pleosporales; Didymellaceae.
CUUGACCUCGGAUCAGGUAGGGAUACCCGCUGAACUUAAGCAUAUCAAUAGCCCGGAGGG